GGUGGCUCAGUGGUAGAGUGCUUGACUAGCAUGCAUGAAGCCCUGGGUUCAAUCCUCAGUACCA
This 64-nucleotide transfer RNA is filed under the name Dipodomys ordii (Ord's kangaroo rat). It matches the Rfam family "tRNA". From Rfam's summary of the family: Transfer RNA (tRNA) molecules are approximately 80 nucleotides in length. Their secondary structure includes four short double-helical elements and three loops (D, anti-codon, and T loops). The record is from Rfam by way of RNAcentral. Lineage: Eukaryota; Metazoa; Chordata; Mammalia; Rodentia; Heteromyidae.